This 144-nucleotide small RNA is filed under the name Callithrix jacchus (white-tufted-ear marmoset). RNAcentral describes it as "Metazoan signal recognition particle RNA (ENSCJAG00000052781.2)". The record is from Rfam by way of RNAcentral. Lineage: Eukaryota; Metazoa; Chordata; Mammalia; Primates; Cebidae.
GCCAGGCGUGGUGGCGCGUGCCUGUAAUCCCAGCUACUCAGGAGGCUGAGGCAGGAGAAUCACUUGAACCCAGGAGGGGGAGGUGUGAUCUGAGAUCACACCACCGCACUCCAGCCUGGAUGACAGAGUGAGACCCUGUCUCAA